This 558-nucleotide ribosomal RNA is filed under the name uncultured bacterium. RNAcentral's name for it is "partial 16S ribosomal RNA". It matches the Rfam family "Bacterial small subunit ribosomal RNA", at positions 355 to 902 of the family's 1533-position model. The record is from RNAcentral.
UGGGGAAUCUUCCGCAAUGGACGAAAGUCUGACGGAGCAACGCCGCGUGAGUGAAGAAGGUUUUCGGAUCGUAAAACUCUGUCUUUUGGGGCGAACGUGAGUAUGGUGAACAAUCAUAGUCAGUGACGGUACCAAAGGAGGAAGCCACGGCUAACUACGUGCCAGCAGCCGCGGUAAUACGUAGGUGGCAAGCGUUGUCCGGAAUUAUUGGGCGUAAAGAGCGCGUAGGCGGGAUAGUCAGUCUGUUGUAAAGUGCGGGGCUCAACCCCGUGAUGGCAAUGGAAACAGCUAUUCUUGAGUGCAGGAGAGGAAGUGGAAUUCCCAGUGUAGCGGUGAAAUGCGUAGAUAUUGGGAGGAACACCAGUGGCGAAGGCGACUUUCUGGACUGUGUCUGACGCUGAGGCGCGAAAGCCAGGGGAGCGAACGGGAUUAGAUACCCCGGUAGUCCCGGCCGUAAACGAUGGGUACUAGGUGGUGGGAGGUAUCGACCCCCUUUCCGUGCCGGAGUUAACGCAAUAAGUACCCCGCCUGGGGAGUACGGUCGCAAGACUGAAACUU